RNAcentral lists this ribosomal RNA (242 nucleotides) under uncultured bacterium. RNAcentral's name for it is "partial 16S ribosomal RNA". The record is from RNAcentral.
CUGCUGCCUCCCGUAGGAGUUUGGGCCGUGUCUCAGUCCCAAUGUGGCCGUUCACCCUCUCAGGCCGGCUACUGAUCGUCGCCUUGGUGGGCCUUUACCCCGCCAACAAGCUAAUCAGACGCGGAUCCAUCGUAUACCACCGGAGUUUUUCACACUGCUUCAUGCGAAGCUGUGCGCUUAUGCGGUAUUAGCACCUAUUUCUAAGUGUUAUCCCCCAGUAUACGGCAGGUUUCCNCNCGUCU